This 253-nucleotide ribosomal RNA is filed under the name uncultured bacterium. RNAcentral's name for it is "partial 16S ribosomal RNA". It matches the Rfam family "Bacterial small subunit ribosomal RNA", at positions 524 to 776 of the family's 1533-position model. The record is from RNAcentral.
UACGGAGGGGGCUAGCGUUGUUCGGAAUUACUGGGCGUAAAGGGCCAGUAGGCGGCCAACUAAGUCGGAUGUGAAAUCCCCAGGCUUAACCUGGGAACUGCAUCCGAUACUGGAUGGCUUGAAUUCGGGAGAGGGAUGCAGAAUUCCAGGUGUAGCGGUGAAAUGCGUAGAUAUCUGGAGGAAUACCGGUGGCGAAGGUGGCAUCCUGGACCGACAUUGACGCUGAACGGCGAAAGCUAGGGGAGCAAACGGG